AGAACGAACGCUGGCGGCAGGCUUAACACAUGCAAGUCGAACGCCCCGCGAGGGGAGUGGCAGACGGGUGAGUAACGCGUGGGAAUCUACCCAGAACUUCGGAACAACUGAGGGAAACUUCAGCUAAUACCGGAUACGCCCUACGGGGGAAAGAUUUAUCGGUUCUGGAUGAGCCCGCGUUGGAUUAGCUAGUUGGUGGGGUAAUGGCCUACCAAGGCGACGAUCCAUAGCUGGUCUGAGAGGAUGAUCAGCCACACUGGGACUGAGACACGGCCCAGACUCCUACGGGAGGCAGCAGUGGGGAAUAUUGGACAAUGGGCGAAAGCCUGAUCCAGCCAUGCCGCGUGAGUGAUGAAGGCCUUAGGGUUGUAAAGCUCUUUCAGUAGGGAAGAUAAUGACGGUACCUACAGAAGAAGCCCCGGCUAACUUCGCGCCAGCAGCCGC
RNAcentral lists this ribosomal RNA (444 nucleotides) under uncultured bacterium. RNAcentral describes it as "SSU rRNA". It matches the Rfam family "Bacterial small subunit ribosomal RNA", at positions 26 to 518 of the family's 1533-position model. The record is from RNAcentral.